This 253-nucleotide ribosomal RNA is filed under the name uncultured bacterium. Its description in RNAcentral is "partial 16S ribosomal RNA". It matches the Rfam family "Bacterial small subunit ribosomal RNA", at positions 524 to 776 of the family's 1533-position model. The record is from RNAcentral.
UACAGAGGGUGCAAGCGUUGUCCGGAAUCACUGGGCGUAAAGGGCGCGUAGGCGGCCCGAUAAGUAGGGGGUGAAAUCUUGCGGCUCAACCGCAAGGCUGCCUUCUAGACUGUCGGGCUUGAGCACAGUAGAGGCAGGUGGAAUUCCCGGUGUAGCGGUGGAAUGCGUAGAGAUCGGGAAGAACAUCGGUGGCGAAGGCGGCCUGCUGGGCCAAUACUGACGCUGAGGUGCGAAAGCGUGGGGAGCAAACAGG